CUCCAGACUCCUACGGGAGGCAGCAGUGGGGAAUAUUGCACAAUGGGCGAAAGCCUGAUGCAGCAACGCCGCGUGAAGGAAGAAGGGUUUCGGCUCGUAAACUUCUAUCAACAGGGACGAAAGAAAUGACGGUACCUGAAUAAGAAGCCCCGGCUAACUACGUGCCAGCAGCCGCGGUAAUACGUAGGGGGCAAGCGUUAUCCGGAAUUACUGGGUGUAAAGGGUGAGUAGGCGGCAUGGUAAGCCAGAUGUGAAAGCCUUGGGCUUAACCCGAGGAUUGCAUUUGGAACUAUCAAGCUAGAGUACAGGAGAGGAAAGCGGAAUUCCUAGUGUAGCGGUGAAAUGCGUAGAUAUCAGGAGGAACAUCGGUGGCGAAAGCGCUUUACUGGACCAUUAUUGACGCUGAGGAACGAAAGCCAGGGGAGCAAAUGGGAUUAGAUACCCCAGUA
RNAcentral lists this ribosomal RNA (449 nucleotides) under uncultured bacterium. RNAcentral's name for it is "bacterial SSU rRNA". It matches the Rfam family "Bacterial small subunit ribosomal RNA", at positions 329 to 792 of the family's 1533-position model. The record is from RNAcentral.